AUUUAGAUAGAGAUACCGAGCAGCCUGCUUCAAAGCCAGUGAACAGUUUGUGAAACCCUCGGUUUCUUUUUUAUAAAAAAAAACUUGGAAAAACAGAAGCAGCCUGAAUUGGCUAAAAGCUAGAGGUUCUCCAGCUGCUGCUAGAACUGCAAGUCUGUAUACUUCCAUAGUGCCUUCAGAACAGACAGCAGUGGUUCAAGGCAGCAGCUCACCAUGACCUCAAGGCGAUUACAGACGGCCAAGAAAUGCCAACCAAGCCAACAAUACUUCAAUUUUGUGAAUGGAAAAGAGAUCUCUCACUAGUCAUAAAAUUGCCCAACUUCACUUCUACAAUGACCAAGGGCAUUAUACUUCUCUCACUUCAAUAUCAGCCUCUACAGGUCCUUGCAAUCUCACAAGACAUGAAC
Stegostoma tigrinum is the source of this 407-nucleotide long non-coding RNA. RefSeq lists it as uncharacterized. Lineage: Eukaryota; Metazoa; Chordata; Chondrichthyes; Orectolobiformes; Stegostomatidae. The record is from RefSeq and is a predicted model, not a curated record. The transcript has 3 exons.